RNAcentral lists this non-coding RNA (24 nucleotides) under Arabidopsis thaliana (thale cress). Lineage: Eukaryota; Viridiplantae; Streptophyta; Magnoliopsida; Brassicales; Brassicaceae. The record is from RNAcentral.
AGAUAACUGAUUAUUGUCACAAUU